This is a non-coding RNA of Egretta garzetta (little egret), 237 nucleotides long. Lineage: Eukaryota; Metazoa; Chordata; Aves; Pelecaniformes; Ardeidae. The record is from Rfam.
GUGAGGUGAUGACGAAGUUUAUCCAUUCUCUGAGUGCAGUGGUGCUGCCCUCCUGCAGCACCCUGAUUCCUGUUCUAGGCUCUGGGUGCUGCGCAGCCUCCAGAGACCCUCCAGUCUCCCAGUGUCCUACUGGGGGCUGCUGGGGUGUGUGGCUGGGGGCCGCGGUUCUGGCAGGGUUGGAGCCUCUCUUUGCGGGGGGCUCCAUCCUCACUGAGAUGAGGGAUAAUGUCUGAUCAC